ACUACGGGAGGCAGCAGUGAGGAAUAUUGGUCAAUGGCCGGAAGGCUGAACCAGCCAUGCCGCGUGAAGGUCAGUGCCCUAUGGGCGUUAAACUUCUUUUGUGCGGGAGCAAUAAUGGUCACGUGUGGCCAGACGAGAGUACAGUAGGAAUAAGCAUCGGCUAACUUCGUGCCAGCAGCCGCGGUAUUACGGGGGAUGCAAGCGUUAUCCGGAUUUAUUGGGUGUAAAGGGUGCGUAGGCUGUGAGGUAAGUCCGCGGGGAAAUGCCCCCGCUCAACGGGGUGAAGUGCCAUUGAUACUGGCUUGCUGGAAUGCGGAUGCCGUGGGAGGAAUGUGUGGUGUAGCGGUGAAAUGCA
RNAcentral lists this ribosomal RNA (355 nucleotides) under uncultured bacterium. RNAcentral's name for it is "partial 16S ribosomal RNA". It matches the Rfam family "Bacterial small subunit ribosomal RNA", at positions 338 to 690 of the family's 1533-position model. The record is from RNAcentral.